CCUACGGGGGGCUGCAGUGGGGAAUAUUGGACAAUGGGCGCAAGCCUGAUCCAGCCAUGCCGCGUGAGUGAUGAAGGCCUUAGGGUUGUAAAGCUCUUUCACCGGAGAAGAUAAUGACGGUAUCCGGAGAAGAAGCCCCGGCUAACUUCGUGCCAGCAGCCGCGGUAAUACGAAGGGGGCUAGCGUUGUUCGGAAUUACUGGGCGUAAAGCGCACGUAGGCGGAUAUUUAAGUCAGGGGUGAAAUCCCAGAGCUCAACUCUGGAACUGCCUUUGAUACUGGGUAUCUUGAGUAUGGAAGAGGUAAGUGGAAUUCCGAGUGUAGAGGUGAAAUUCGUAGAUAUUCGGAGGAACACCAGUGGCGAAGGCGGCUUACUGGUCCAUUACUGACGCUGAGGUGCGAAAGCGUGGGGAGCAAACAGGAUUAGAUACCCCAGUAGUC
Molecule: ribosomal RNA, 440 nt
Filed under: uncultured bacterium
Lineage: Bacteria
Description: partial 16S ribosomal RNA
Rfam family: Bacterial small subunit ribosomal RNA
Source: RNAcentral